RNAcentral lists this ribosomal RNA (242 nucleotides) under uncultured bacterium. RNAcentral's name for it is "partial 16S ribosomal RNA". It matches the Rfam family "Bacterial small subunit ribosomal RNA", at positions 94 to 339 of the family's 1533-position model. The record is from RNAcentral.
AGUGGCGCACGGGUGAGUAAUUUAUAGAUAACGUGCCUUUUAGUCUGGGAUAGCCAUUGGAAACGAUGAUUAAUACCGGAUACUCCUUCUAACUCUAAUGUUAGUCGGGAAAGUUUUUCGCUAAAAGAUCGGUCUAUAUCCCAUCAGUUAGUUGGUAAGGUAACGGCUUACCAAGGCAAUGACGGGUAGCGGGUUUGAGAGGAUGAUCCGCCACACUGGUACUGAGACACGGACCAGACUCC